GAACGUCGUGAGACAGUUCGGUCCAUAUCCGGUGUAGGCGUUAGAGUAUUGCGAGGAUCUCUUCUUAGUACGAGAGGACCGGAAGAGACGUACCUCUGGUGUGCCAGUUAUCGUGCCAACGGUAGACGCUGGGUAGCCAUGUACGGUUAGGAUAACCGCUGAAAGCAUCUAAGUGGGAAGCCAGCCUCAAGAUGAGUACUCUU
This 203-nucleotide ribosomal RNA is filed under the name uncultured Phaeocystis. RNAcentral's name for it is "partial Bacterial large subunit ribosomal RNA". It matches the Rfam family "Bacterial large subunit ribosomal RNA", at positions 2614 to 2815 of the family's 2925-position model. The record is from RNAcentral. Lineage: Eukaryota; Haptophyta; Phaeocystales; Phaeocystaceae.